This 301-nucleotide ribosomal RNA is filed under the name uncultured bacterium. RNAcentral describes it as "partial 16S ribosomal RNA". It matches the Rfam family "Bacterial small subunit ribosomal RNA", at positions 509 to 807 of the family's 1533-position model. The record is from RNAcentral.
CAGCAGCCGCGGUAAUACGGAGGGAGCUAGCGUUGUUCGGAAUUACUGGGCGUAAAGCGCACGUAGGCGGCUUUGUAAGUCAGAGGUGAAAGCCUGGAGCUCAACUCCAGAACUGCCUUUGAGACUGCAUCGCUUGAAUCCAGGAGAGGUGAGUGGAAUUCCGAGUGUAGAGGUGAAAUUCGUAGAUAUUCGGAAGAACACCAGUGGCGAAGGCGGCUCACUGGACUGGUAUUGACGCUGAGGUGCGAAAGCGUGGGGAGCAAACAGGAUUAGAUACCCCAGUAGUCCCUGUCUCUUAUAC